AGAGAGGUGGCCGAGCGGCUGAAGGCGCACGCCUGGAAAGUGUGUAAACCGAAAGGUUUCGUGGGUUCGAAUCCCAUCCUCUCUGCCA
RNAcentral lists this transfer RNA (88 nucleotides) under Gammaproteobacteria bacterium. Its description in RNAcentral is "tRNA-Ser". It matches the Rfam family "tRNA". Rfam says of the family: Transfer RNA (tRNA) molecules are approximately 80 nucleotides in length. The record is from RNAcentral. RNAcentral also lists the same sequence under 3 other names. Lineage: Bacteria; Pseudomonadati; Pseudomonadota; Gammaproteobacteria.